AGAAUCAACGCUGGCGGCGUGCCUAACACAUGCAAGUCGAACGAGAAAGUGGAGCAAUCCAUGAGUAAAGUGGCGCACGGGUGAGUAACACGUGACUAACCUACCCUUGAGUGGGGGGAUAAACCUAGGGAAACCUGGGCUAAUACCGCAUAAUACCUUCGGGUUCAAAGGAGCAAAUUCGCUUAAGGAGGGGGUCGCGGCCGAUUAGUUAGUUGGCGGGGUAAUGGCCCACCAAGACUGUGAUCGGUA
This 249-nucleotide ribosomal RNA is filed under the name uncultured bacterium. RNAcentral describes it as "partial small subunit ribosomal RNA". It matches the Rfam family "Bacterial small subunit ribosomal RNA", at positions 26 to 285 of the family's 1533-position model. The record is from RNAcentral.